This 253-nucleotide ribosomal RNA is filed under the name uncultured bacterium. RNAcentral describes it as "partial 16S ribosomal RNA". It matches the Rfam family "Bacterial small subunit ribosomal RNA", at positions 524 to 776 of the family's 1533-position model. The record is from RNAcentral.
GACGGAAGGUGCAAGCGUUGCUCGGAAUCACUGGGCGUAAAGGGCGCGUAGGCGGGGAGGUAAGUCGGGUGUGAAAUCCCUCGGCCCAACCGAGGAACUGCGCCCGAGACUGCUUCUCUUGAGUCCCGGAGAGGAAGAUGGAAUUCCCGGUGUAGCGGUGAAAUGUGUAGAGAUCGGGAGGAACACCGGUGGCGAAGGCGGUCUUCUGGACGGUGACUGACGCUGAGGCGCGAAAGCGUGGGGAGCAAACGGG